RNAcentral lists this ribosomal RNA (505 nucleotides) under uncultured bacterium. RNAcentral describes it as "bacterial SSU rRNA". It matches the Rfam family "Bacterial small subunit ribosomal RNA", at positions 21 to 518 of the family's 1533-position model. The record is from RNAcentral.
GGUUCAGGAUGAACGCUAGCGACAGGCUAACACAUGCAAGUCGAGGGGCAGCACGGGAGUAGCAAUACAACUGGUGGCGACCGGCGCACGGGUGAGUAACGCGUAUGCAACCUACCUAUCAGAGGGGAAUAACCCGGCGAAAGUCGGACUAAUACCGCAUAAAACAGGGGCACCGCAUGGUGAUAUUUGUUAAAGAAAUUCGCUGAUAGAUGGGCAUGCGUUCCAUUAGGUAGUUGGUGAGGUAACGGCUCACCAAGCCGACGAUGGAUAGGGGAACUGAGAGGUUGGUCCCCCACACUGGUACUGAGACACGGACCAGACUCCUACGGGAGGCAGCAGUGAGGAAUAUUGGUCAAUGGGCGAGAGCCUGAACCAGCCAAGUCGCGUGAAGGAAGAAGGAUCUAUGGUUCGUAAACUUCUUUUGCAGGGGAAUAAAGUGCAGGACGUGUCCUGUUUUGUAUGUACCCUGAGAAUAAGGAUCGGCUAACUCCGUGCCAGCCGCCGC